Molecule: ribosomal RNA, 403 nt
Filed under: uncultured bacterium
Lineage: Bacteria
Description: partial 16S ribosomal RNA
Rfam family: Bacterial small subunit ribosomal RNA
Source: RNAcentral
AUUGAACGCUGGCGGCAGGCCUAACACAUGCAAGUCGAGCGAGCGGCGGACGGGUGAGUAAUGUAUGGGGAAUGUCCGAUAGAGGGGGAUAACUACUGGAAACGGUGGCUCAUACCGCAUACUGUCGGGUUACCCAUAUGGGAUUAGCUAGUAGGUAAGGUAAUGGCGUACCUAGGCGACGAUCCCUAGCUGGUCUGAGAGGAUGAUCAGCCACACUGGGACUGGGAAACGGCCAAGACUCCUACGGAGGCAGCAGUGGGGAAUAUUGCACAAUGGGCGCAAGCCUGAUGCAGCCAUGCCGCGUGUAUGAAGAAGGCCCUAGGGUUGUAAAGUACUUUCAGUCGGGAGGCGUUACCGACAGAAGAAGCACCGGCUAACUCCGUGCCAGUAGCCGCGGUAAUAC